GACGAACGCUGGCGGCGUGCUUAACACAUGCCAGUCGAACGGAAAGGCCCUGCUUUUGUGGGGUGCUCGAGUGGCGAACGGGUGAGUAACACGUGAGUAACCUGCCCUUGACUUUGGGAUAACUUCAGGAAACUGGGGCUAAUACCGGAUAGGAGCUCCUGCUGCAUGGUGGGGGUUGGAAAGUUUCGGCGGUUGGGGAUGGACUCGCGGCUUAUCAGCUUGUUGGUGGGGUAGUGGCUUACCAAGGCUUUGACGGGUAGCCGGCCUGAGAGGGUGACCGGCCACAUUGGGACUGAGAUACGGCCCAGACUCGUACGGGAGGCAGCAGUGGGGAAUAUUGCACAAUGGGCGGAGGCCUGAUGCAGCAACGCCGCGUGCGGGAUGACGGCCUUCGGGUUGUAAACCGCUUUCGCCUGUGACGAAGCGUGAGUGACGGUAAUGGGUAAAGAAGCACCGGCUAACUACGUG
RNAcentral lists this ribosomal RNA (468 nucleotides) under uncultured bacterium. RNAcentral's name for it is "partial 16S ribosomal RNA". It matches the Rfam family "Bacterial small subunit ribosomal RNA", at positions 28 to 507 of the family's 1533-position model. The record is from RNAcentral.